GGUCUCGUGGCCUAAUGCAUAAGGCGUUGGUCUUCAGAACCAAAGAUUGUGGGUUCGAGUCCCACCGA
Molecule: non-coding RNA, 68 nt
Organism: Perkinsus marinus ATCC 50983
Lineage: Eukaryota; Perkinsozoa; Perkinsida; Perkinsidae
Source: Rfam